GUAGCUUUGAAAAAACGCACGCGUUUUGCGGCUUCAAAAACAAUUCUUCGAGAAAUUGGUGGGGUCCGACUAUAAAAGCCGCAGCCUUCGACUGAGAGGGCACUAGUUCGAUUUUUGCGGGGCCUGCAACGCUUCGUGUAGCCUGUUCCUCCUUCGAACUAGUCAUCCCGACUUCACAGCAGAGAAAUGUCAUCAUCCUACGAGGACAUCACGCGCGCCAUGCUUUGGCCGAACGCGGUUGCCGCCGCGUCGCUCAUUCCGCACGGCGGCCAGGGUACAGUCUGUGAGAGUCCGCGCGGCUGCACAGACUCCCUGGACUUCCUGCAGUUCGCGGCCGACGGCAACCUGGCCAAGGGCAGACGUGCAGGGCGGCGCUUGAGCGUGCUGGCGCUUUGUCCGGCGCUGUGCGCCUUCAAACGAGCACGACAUUGAACACGUCGCUUCCUCAGAUGGUGCAAAUCAGCCCUGCUUCAGCUCGUGAAAGACUGAAGUUACCGAGAAAGAGUUAGAAGACCAGAUUGAAGAGCCAAAUCGUAAUUAACCUCUCGGCUGAACGGACCGAGACUGAGAUGAAGAUAUUGUACCAAUAAUUAAGAUUGCUUUUCGUCGUGUGUGGUUUUGCAUUCGUUCUCGCACAGCAGGAAAUAAUAAU
This is a long non-coding RNA of Cloeon dipterum, 652 nucleotides long. RefSeq lists it as uncharacterized. NCBI's taxonomy places the organism in Eukaryota, Metazoa, Arthropoda, Insecta, Ephemeroptera, Baetidae. The record is from RefSeq and is a predicted model, not a curated record. The transcript has 3 exons.